AAUAAAGUGCCUGAAAAAGGGUUAUCUUGAUAGGGUAAAUUAUAAAAGUAUUUUUCUUUAUUA
This 63-nucleotide transfer RNA is filed under the name Thulinius sp. DVL-2010. RNAcentral's name for it is "tRNA-Ile". The record is from RNAcentral. Lineage: Eukaryota; Metazoa; Tardigrada; Eutardigrada; Parachela; Doryphoribiidae.